GUACGACGGAGCACGUGAAAUUCCGUCGGAAUCUGGGAGGACCAUCUCCUAAGGCUAAAUACUCUCUAGUGACCGAUAGUGAACCAGUACCGUGAGGGAAAGGUGAAAAGCACCCCGGAAGGGGAGUGAAAUAGAACCUGAAACCGUGUGCUUACAAGUAGUCAGAGCCCGUUAAUGGGUGAUGGCGUGCCUUUUGUAGAAUGAACCGGCGAGUUACGAUUUGAUGCAAGGUUAA
This 235-nucleotide ribosomal RNA is filed under the name Staphylococcus aureus. RNAcentral describes it as "partial 23S ribosomal RNA". It matches the Rfam family "Bacterial large subunit ribosomal RNA", at positions 412 to 649 of the family's 2925-position model. Lineage: Bacteria; Bacillati; Bacillota; Bacilli; Caryophanales; Staphylococcaceae. The record is from RNAcentral.